This 253-nucleotide ribosomal RNA is filed under the name uncultured bacterium. RNAcentral's name for it is "partial 16S ribosomal RNA". It matches the Rfam family "Bacterial small subunit ribosomal RNA", at positions 524 to 776 of the family's 1533-position model. The record is from RNAcentral.
UACGUAGGUCCCAAGCGUUAUCCGGAAUUACUGGGUGUAAAGCGUCUGUAGGCGGACUUGUAAGUUUUGUAUGAAAGACCAGGGCUCAACCCUGUGUUUGUGCAAAAAACUGCAAGCCUAGAAUUAGGGAGGGGUAAGCGGAAUGGUAUGAGUAGAGGUGCAAUUCGUAGAUACAUACCAGAACACCAAAAGCGAAGGCAGCUUACUGGAACUAUAUUGACGCUGAGAGACGAAAGCGUGGGGAGCGAAAAGG